Molecule: ribosomal RNA, 419 nt
Filed under: bacterium
Lineage: Bacteria
Description: partial 16S ribosomal RNA
Rfam family: Bacterial small subunit ribosomal RNA
Source: RNAcentral
UGGGGGAUAUUGCACAAUGGGCGAAAGCCUGAUGCAGCGACGCCGCGUGGGGGAUGAAGGCCUUCGGGUUGUAAACUUCUUUUGCUCUGAACAAGGCAUGCUAAUGGGUGUGUUGAGUGUAGGGGUUGAUUAGCGCCGGCUAACUACGUGCCAGCAGCCGCGGUAAUACGUAGGGAGCGAGCGUUGUCCGGAAUUAUUGGGCGUAAAGGGCUUGUAGGUGGCUGGUUGCGUCUGUCGUGAAAGCUCAUGGCUUAACUGUGGGUUUGCGGUGGGUACGGGCUGGCUUGAGUGCAGUAGGGGAGGCUGGAAUUCCUGGUGUAGCGGUGGAAUGCGCAGAUAUCAGGAGGAAUACCGGUGGCGAAGGCGGGUCUCUGGGCUGUUACUGACACUGAGGAGCGAAAGCAUGGGGAGCGAACAGG